Molecule: ribosomal RNA, 1807 nt
Filed under: Xenos vesparum
Lineage: Eukaryota; Metazoa; Arthropoda; Insecta; Strepsiptera; Xenidae
Description: partial 18S small subunit ribosomal RNA
Rfam family: Eukaryotic small subunit ribosomal RNA (bases 1-957)
Source: RNAcentral
GUCUAAGUACUAGCCAAUAAUUCUUUUUUUUUUUUUUUUUUUAAAAAAAGAAGUAAACGGUGAAACCGCGAAAAGCUCAUUAAAUCGGCUUUGGUUCCUUAGAUAGUAAGCAGAUCUGAUUUUUUUUUAAAAUGUAAAAUUUUGAAAAAAAAAGAAAAUCUGAAAUGGAUAACUGUGGUAAUUCUAGAGCUAAUACAUGAAAAUUAUUUCAGUGUGAAAAUAUUUUAAAAAAAGGAAUAUUUUUGCACGCUUUUAUUAGAGGAAAAAGCCAAAUUUUAAAAAAUCUUAAAAAAACAUUUGUUUUUUUUUGAUUAAUAAAUUUAAUAAUCGUUUAAAAAAUAUCAUUAAUUUGAUAGUUUUUUAAAAUGGUGUUGAAUCUGAAUAACUUGAAUGAAUUUCUUUUGAAAAAUAUUUAUCGUAUUAAUGUUUUUAUAACUUUUUUUAAUUUUUUUUUAAAAAUUUUAUUUAAAUAAUAUAUAUAUAUAGACACUUAUGUGUAUGUAUGUAGAAUUAUUUAAUUAUAAAUUAAAAAAAAAAAUAAAAAGUUAUAUUUAUUUCGAUAAAUUUUAAUUAGAAAGAAAUUUAAAGCAGACCGCAAAAAAAAAUUCAUUUUAUAUUUUAUAUAAAAUAAAUAAAUGCGGCGUAUCUUUCAAUUGUCUGCCUUAUCAACUGUCGAUGGUAGAUUACAUGUCUACCAUGGUUGUAACGGGUAACGGGGAAUCAGGGUUCGAUUCCGGAGAGGGAGCCUGAGAAACGGCUACCACAUCUAAGGAAGGCAGCAGGCGCGCAAAUUACCCACUCCCGGCACGGGGAGGUAGUGACGAUAAAUAACGAUCCGGAACUCUAAUGAGUUUCCGUAAUCGGAAUGAGUACAAUUUAAAUCCGUUAACGAGGAGCAAAUGGAGGGCAAGUCUGGUGCCAGCAGCCGCGGUAAUUCCAGCUCCAUUAGCAUAUAUUAAAGUUGUUGCGUUAAAAAAGCUCGUAGUUGAAUCUGUAUCUCAUCAUGUCAGUCGCUCGUAAUUUAAUUUAUGUAGUUUGAUUUGACAUUUUGUAUGAGAUAUAAAUACUAGUGGAUUUUUUCAAAAUUGAAUUUUAUUUAUUUAUAUUUUGGUUUUUUUUUUUUUUUUCAAAAAAAAAAUCAAUAUAAAUUAUAUAGUAAUUUUCGAUUUUAAAAUUCGAUAUAAUAAUUUUUAAUCAAAAAAGUUUAUCGAAAAUAAAUGUUAUUUUUUAAUAAAAAAUUUUUUUAAAAAAUUUUUUAUAAAAAAAUUAAUUUUUUUCGAUAACUUUUAUUAAAUAUUAAUUAUAUUCUAAUAAAAUUAUUUAAACGUAAUUUUUAUUAGACCAGUAAAAUUACUUUGAACAAAUUAGAGUGCUUAAAGCAGGCAAAUUUAAAUGCCUUGAAUAUAACAGCAUGGAAUAAUAGAAUAUGAUCUCGAUACUGUUUAAAAAAGAAAAUUUUUUUCUGAUUUUUUUUUUUUUUAAAUGAUUAGAAAAAAAUAAAAAUUGGCUUAAAGAAAUAAAUAAUUUUACUUAAAAAAAAGAUUUUUUUUUUUUUUUUGAUUUAUACAAAAAUAGUAAAAUUUCUUAUCGUUGCAAAAAUUAUAUUUAAAUUUUUUUAAUUUUUGUAUUUUUUUUUUUUAAAUAAAAAAAAAUAACAAAAACUAUUUACAAUUUUUUUUUUUUAAAAAAAAUAAUUUUGUAAAUAGAAAAUUUAAAAACUUUUUUGCAUCCAUAACGUUAAGAAAAUUUUUUUUUUGUUAAAAAAAAAUAAUUUCUUUUUUUUAAGAAUUUAUUUCGACAGUAUGAU